This 73-nucleotide transfer RNA is filed under the name bacterium. RNAcentral's name for it is "tRNA-Ala". It matches the Rfam family "tRNA". From Rfam's summary of the family: Transfer RNA (tRNA) molecules are approximately 80 nucleotides in length. The record is from RNAcentral. RNAcentral also lists the same sequence under 5 other names.
GGGGAUGUAGCUUAGUUGGGAGAGCGCCGCCUUUGCAAGGCGGAGGUCGUGGGUUCGAGUCCCAUCAUCUCCA